Long non-coding RNA from Oncorhynchus tshawytscha (Chinook salmon), 775 nucleotides. Lineage: Eukaryota; Metazoa; Chordata; Actinopteri; Salmoniformes; Salmonidae. The record is from Ensembl.
CGACAAAACAAGAAAUCCAAGCUGAAGAAAACCUGAUAAUGAUAUGGUCUAUAUUAUCUGUUUCUACCCCCCUUCUCUCUCUCUCUCUCUCUCUUGCUUGCUAUCUAUCUAUCUCCCCCAUCUCUGUCUCACUAUCCUCUCUGUCUCUCUCGCUAUCUAUCUCCCUCCCCCAUCUCUGUCUCACUCUCCUCUCUCUCGCUCUCACUCUCACUCUCCUCUGUCUGUCUGUCUCUCUCUCUCCCAGGCAGGGGAGUCUGUCCUCAGUGUUCUGGCAGGUUGUAUGAUGGUUAGGAAGCUGUCAGAGAUGGAGAGUGAGACGUAGACAAACUGAAAUGGUCCACCCACACAGACAGUGUGAUGAAGGCAGCACAACAGCGCCUCUUCAACCUCAGGAGGCUGAAGAAAUGUGGCUUGUCACCCAAAACCCUGACAAACAUUUACAGAUGCGCAAUCGAGAGCAUCAUGUCGGGCUGUAUCACAGCAUGGUACGGCAACUGCACCGCCCUCAACCACAAAGCUCUCCAGAGGGUGGUAAGGUCUGCACAACGCAUCACAGUGGGCAAGCUACCUGCCCUCCAUAACACCUACGGCACCCGAUGUCACAGGAAGGCCAAAAGGAUCAUCAGGGACAACAUCCACCGAGCCACUGCCUGUUCGCACCGCUAUCAUCCAGAAGGCGAGUCUGACAUGUUGCGCUCACUAUCCACCACAAGAUCCACAGUCAGCACGGAGGACUUGUUCAAGAUCAGGGAGUUCACAAAGAACUUUGGACAGG